This 320-nucleotide ribosomal RNA is filed under the name Salmonella enterica subsp. enterica. Its description in RNAcentral is "bacterial SSU rRNA". It matches the Rfam family "Bacterial small subunit ribosomal RNA", at positions 581 to 900 of the family's 1533-position model. The record is from RNAcentral. Lineage: Bacteria; Pseudomonadati; Pseudomonadota; Gammaproteobacteria; Enterobacterales; Enterobacteriaceae.
UGUCAAGUCGGAUGUGAAAUCCCCGGGCUCAACCUGGGAACUGCAUUCGAAACUGGCAGGCUUGAGUCUUGUAGAGGGGGGUAGAAUUCCAGGUGUAGCGGUGAAAUGCGUAGAGAUCUGGAGGAAUACCGGUGGCGAAGGCGGCCCCCUGGACAAAGACUGACGCUCAGGUGCGAAAGCGUGGGGAGCAAACAGGAUUAGAUACCCUGGUAGUCCACGCCGUAAACGAUGUCUACUUGGAGGUUGUGCCCUUGAGGCGUGGCUUCCGGAGCUAACGCGUUAAGUAGACCGCCUGGGGAGUACGGCCGCAAGGUUAAAAC